Molecule: microRNA precursor, 67 nt
Filed under: Bombyx mori (domestic silkworm)
Lineage: Eukaryota; Metazoa; Arthropoda; Insecta; Lepidoptera; Bombycidae
Description: mir-2774 microRNA precursor family
Rfam family: mir-2774 microRNA precursor family
Source: Rfam by way of RNAcentral
CCAACAUUCGGACCGUCGAUCUAAUGAGCAACAUCACCCACUCGGUAGAAGAUCUUCCUUUGGUCGU